This 294-nucleotide ribosomal RNA is filed under the name Oligochaeta sp. LR_04-2. RNAcentral's name for it is "partial large subunit ribosomal RNA". It matches the Rfam family "Eukaryotic large subunit ribosomal RNA", at positions 675 to 937 of the family's 3401-position model. The record is from RNAcentral. Lineage: Eukaryota; Metazoa; Annelida; Clitellata.
CUAACAUGUGCGCGAGUCGUUGGGCGUUACGAAACCCGAAGCGCAAUGAAAGUGAAGGCACGGUUCUGCCGGCCUGGGUGGGAUCGUCGGCCGUUCGCGGUCGGCGCGCACCACCGGCCCGUCUCACUCGCAUCGUCGGGGAGGCGGAGCAAGAGCGUACACGUUGGGACCCGAAAGAUGGUGAACUAUGCCUGAGUAGGACGAAGCCAGAGGAAACUCUGGUGGAGGUCCGCAGCGAUUCUGACGUGCAAAUCGAUCGUCAAACUUGGGUAUAGGGGCGAAAACAAAAAAUCG